CUGCCCCCCUCCCAGAUCAGCGUAUAGCGGGAGGGAAUCCCAAAGGAGGCCAAGUCCCCUCCCUGCCCUCGCGAGGGAAAUCCCUAGAAAAAGCUGAAUCAGCUCCUGUUCCCUCCUUGCCGGGGCAAAGUUAAACACAGGCACCUCCCACCCCGGGGAACUUUGUCCCCAGCCCUGAAAUCAGCUCAGACAGAAGACAACCGACUGAGGGAAAGUGCACAGGUAAGUGAAGGCCUCCCUGGGGGACCCAAAUCCUGAUAAGAGUUAGAAAACUGAGGAACCUAUAGGCCAUAACUCCCCAGAACCCAGAAGCUGGGCCCCCCGCCCCCUCCUCCCUCAGACCCAGAACUCUGGACUCCUCAGACCCAGGAGACCCAGUCCCCAGCCCCUCCUCCCUCAGGCCCAGGAGUCCAGGACCCCAGGCCCCUCCUCCCCCAGACCAAGGAGUCCGGGCCCCAGGCUCCUUCUCCUUCAGACCCAGGACUCCAAGGCCUUAUUCUCAGGCUUCAGAUUACCUGAGGCUCCCAACCCCAUACCUCAGACACCAAUGAUUCUAAUUCCCUACGGAUCCCAGGGCUGAGGCGACCACAUGGGCCUGGGGGGCGUCCCCUAGUCAUUGACAGAGACCUUGCUCAGAUCAACCCUUGUGGUCCUGCCUGAGGCAAACAAGGGAGAGCAGGUCUGUCCGUGCCCAUCAGGGUGGCCUCUCCCCAGUAUUCUUUGACCUCACAGUGCCUCCUUCCCAGCCUGGCAGGAAAGCAGCUGGGUCAUGAGGUUCGGGCCACCACAACAGCGGACGUAGCCUGCUCCUGCCCUGUGCGCUGGGUGAGCGGACGUGAGCGUGAAUGGCAGCAGUCACUGGUCAGUAGGUGAGUCCUGGGGAAAUGGGGGGCGCUGGGC
This 900-nucleotide long non-coding RNA is filed under the name Lynx pardinus (Iberian lynx). Lineage: Eukaryota; Metazoa; Chordata; Mammalia; Carnivora; Felidae. The record is from RNAcentral.